UGAUUGGUUGGUGAAUUUAACAAAAGAAAAAAAAAAAACAUCGACGGAAGCUUUUUUUUUCCUCUUUCAUUUCACGAGCCGAUCCCAAAAAAAUUCAUCUAGGGUUUGAUAUCUCUCUCUCAAUUGCUGCUGAGGGUGUGAUUGAGGCGCAAAGAGAGGUUGAGUAGUCGACGAGUCCUCGUUCCUAGGUUUUGUGAUUUGUUCGGACUCUAAUGGUGAAGAAGCAAAAAUCCGAGGAAGCCACACGGCUCGAUGAGGUUGAUCGAACAAUGUAUGGAGCGUUUCGAGGCGCUGCUGAUUCGCUCUCUCAGCUCUAUACAUGCCAUGAGCCAUCAACGCGUCUCUUUCCUCGCCGGUGAACGUCACGGCAUGAAUGAGCUUGAAUAUGAACCUGAGGAGACAUCGAUUCCCUGUGCAAGAGUUCCAUCAGUACCAACAAUUCGCACCACCAAACGUAAAUACUUCAGUAGCUCAUGUUCCUUCAAGUCACAUAGCACACCAUUAUGAUUGUAACAAAGAGAAAGUCUUGGUUCCACCAUAUGGUCUCUCAAGUCCUGUUCGAAGAACCCUUCAGGAAUUCAACUUGUGUGAGGCUAAAUCUGGUAACCAGAAUCCAAACUCUACAGCUUCAACUCAUACACCACGAUGACAAUGGUGUGUUGUUGGCGAUGAUGCUCAUGGUGGAAGAUUAAAGCGGAGCAGCUUAACAAGGGAUUAAAGAGGUUUCAGAUGCUUCUGCAAAGGCACAAAAGAUAUGCACAAAAGAGAUGACCUUUAAGUGAUUCUAGCAUUGGAAAGCCUCUUGGAAGGGGCACGUCUUUCUCGCGGGUUUUAUUCAAGAGCCAGCUUCAACAAUCAUAAGUCCAACAACAUCUUCUCAGGAGAGAAGUAGAGAUAAAGUCUCUCAUCUUCAACUUGAAGAAUCUACAUCGUUAUCUCUACGAUCAAAACUUUGUUAUGCUUCUAAAGUGAUAAAAACUUAAAAAAUGCAGACAUAUCAACGAGAGACGACGACUUGCAACAAAAUGUACAGUUGUAUUAAUGUGACUUCACAUUUGGGUUCGGUGGUUCUGUUUUCACAAAUGAACUGCAAAAAUAUGGAGAAGGAAUAAACAUAGAGAAGAUUUGAGAAAGUUUCAAUACUAUGUCGACCCUUCGUUUACAUGAAUUUUGGCAAUAUUGUACAAAGCCCAGAUAGUUUACGUGUAUUUAUAUUAACCAAAAAUAUUUAUAUUCUC
Molecule: long non-coding RNA, 1238 nt
Organism: Camelina sativa (false flax)
Lineage: Eukaryota; Viridiplantae; Streptophyta; Magnoliopsida; Brassicales; Brassicaceae
Source: RefSeq, a predicted model, not a curated record